This 478-nucleotide ribosomal RNA is filed under the name uncultured bacterium. Its description in RNAcentral is "partial 16S ribosomal RNA". It matches the Rfam family "Bacterial small subunit ribosomal RNA", at positions 28 to 523 of the family's 1533-position model. The record is from RNAcentral.
GACGAACGCUGGCGGCGUGCUUAACACAUGCAAGUCGAACGGUAAGGCCCUUCGGGGUGCACGAGUGGCGAACGGGUGAGUAACACGUGGGUGAUCUGCCCUGCACUUCGGGAUAAGCCUGGGAAACUGGGUCUAAUACCGGAUAGGACCACUGCCUGCAUGGGUGGUGGUGGAAAGCUUUUGCGGUGUGGGAUGGGCCGGCGGCCUAUCAGCUUGUUGGUGGGGUGAUGGCCUACCAAGGCGACGACGGGUAGCCGGCCUGAGAGGGUGACCGGCCACACUGGGACUGAGAUACGGCCCAGACUCCUACGGGAGGCAGCAGUGGGGAAUAUUGCACAAUGGGCGCAAGCCUGAUGCAGCGACGCCGCGUGAGGGAUGACGGCCUUCGGGUUGUAAACCUCUUUCAGCAUCGACGAAGCGCAAGUGACGGUAGGUGCAGAAGAAGGACCGGCCAACUACGUGCCAGCCGCCGCGGUAA